GACGAACGCUGGCGGCGUGCCUAAUACAUGCAAGUCGAGCGCAGGAAACUGACGGAACUCUUCGGAGGGAAGGCAGUGGAAUGAGCGGCGGACGGGUGAGUAACACGUAAGGAACCUGCCUCAAGGAUUGGGAUAACUCCGAGAAAUCGGAGCUAAUACCGGAUAGUUCAUCGGACCGCAUGGUCCGUUGAUGAAAGGCGCUCCGGCGUCACCUUGAGAUGGCCUUGCGGUGCAUUAGCUAGUUGGUGGGGUAACGGCCCACCAAGGCGACGAGGCAUAGCCGACCUGGGAGGGUGAUCGGCAACACUGGGACUGAGACACGGCCCAGACUCCUACGGGAGGCAGCAGUAGGGAAUCUUCCACAGUGGACGAAAGUCUGAUGGAGCAACGCCGCGUGAGUGAUGAAGGUUUUCGGAUCGUAAAACUCUGUUGUAAGGGAAGAACAUGUGCGAGAGGGAAUGCUCGUACCUUGACGGUACCUUACGAGAAAGCCACGGCUAACUACGUGCCAGCCGCCGCGGUAA
RNAcentral lists this ribosomal RNA (524 nucleotides) under uncultured bacterium. RNAcentral's name for it is "partial 16S ribosomal RNA". It matches the Rfam family "Bacterial small subunit ribosomal RNA", at positions 28 to 523 of the family's 1533-position model. The record is from RNAcentral.